This 400-nucleotide ribosomal RNA is filed under the name Bacillus sp. (in: firmicutes). RNAcentral's name for it is "bacterial SSU rRNA". It matches the Rfam family "Bacterial small subunit ribosomal RNA", at positions 32 to 420 of the family's 1533-position model. The record is from RNAcentral. Lineage: Bacteria; Bacillati; Bacillota; Bacilli; Caryophanales; Bacillaceae.
UGGCAACGCUGGCGGCGUGCUAUACAUGCAAGUCGAGCGGACAGAAGGGAGCUUGCUCCCGGAUGUUAGCGGCGGACGGGUGAGUAACACGUGGGUAACCUGCCUGUAAGACUGGGAUAACUCCGGGAAACCGGAGCUAAUACCGGAUAGUUCCUUGAACCGCAUGGUUCAAGGAUGAAAGACGGUUUCGGCUGUCACUUACAGAUGGACCCGCGGCGCAUUAGCUAGUUGGUGGGGUAAUGGCUCACCAAGGCGACGAUGCGUAGCCGACCUGAGAGGGUGAUCGGCCACACUGGGACUGAGACACGCCCCAAACUCCUACGGGAGGCAGCAGUAGGGAAUCUUCCGCAAUGGACAAAAGUCUGACGGAACAACCCCGCGUGAGUGAUGAAGGUUUUCG